Molecule: ribosomal RNA, 497 nt
Filed under: uncultured bacterium
Lineage: Bacteria
Description: partial 16S ribosomal RNA
Rfam family: Bacterial small subunit ribosomal RNA
Source: RNAcentral
GAUGAACGCUGGCGGCGUGCCUAAUACAUGCAAGUCGAGCGAACAGAUGAGGAGCUUGCUCCUCUGACGUUAGCGGCGGACGGGUGAGUAACACGUGGAUAACCUACCUAUAAGACUGGGAUAACUUCGGGAAACCGGAGCUAAUACCGGAUAAUAUAUUGAACCGCAUGGUUCAAUAGUGAAAGACGGUUUUGCUGUCACUUAUAGAUGGAUCCGCGCCGCAUUAGCUAGUUGGUAAGGUAACGGCUUACCAAGGCAACGAUGCGUAGCCGACCUGAGAGGGUGAUCGGCCACACUGGAACUGAGACACGGUCCAGACUCCUACGGGAGGCAGCAGUAGGGAAUCUUCCGCAAUGGGCGAAAGCCUGACGGAGCAACGCCGGGUGAGUGAAGAAGGUCUUCGGAUCGUAAAACUCUGUUAUUAGGGAAGAACAAAUGUGUAAGUAACUAUGCACGUCUUGACGGUACCUAAUCAGAAAGCCACGGCUAACUACGUG